UACGUAGGGUGCAAGCGUUGUCCGGAAUUAUUGGGCGUAAAGCGCCCGUAGGUGGCGACGUAAGUCGGGUGUGAAAGCCCCGGGCUCAACCUGGGAAUUGCAUUCGAGACUGCAUUGCUGGAGUACGGAAGAGGAGGGCGGAAUUCCCGGUGUAGCGGUGAAAUGCGUAGAUAUCGGGAGGAACAUCAGUGGCGAAGGCGGCCCUCUGGUCCAGUACUGACACUCAAGUGCGAAAGCGUGGGGAGCAAACAGG
Molecule: ribosomal RNA, 253 nt
Filed under: uncultured bacterium
Lineage: Bacteria
Description: partial 16S ribosomal RNA
Rfam family: Bacterial small subunit ribosomal RNA
Source: RNAcentral